GUCCAAAAAAGUAAAGUACAUUGUAAAUUUGUAAUAAUAUCCACCAAGGGGGAACAAGAGGGAAAGAAAAUAAAAGUAAAAUCCUGUUAAAGCAUGAAAUUUCAACUCAGGGAAUUACUAGUACAGCAUUUGUUCUUUACCCUACUUCUUAAUGGGUUUCUUCUUUGAAUUCACAAUAGGAGAUAGCUGUGGCUUCGGAUGCUUUUCUACCUCACUUGGAUCCAACCACUUGAGAGGAUGGCGGUUGAAAAAGGGCCAAUUUGGGACAGUCACCAGUGUGGUGAGAACAACACCACCAGCAUAUAUGAGCAUCAUCGUCUUGAAAGAAGCCAUAAGAUAUCCCGUUCCAAAUGCAACCACAGCAAAUGCAAGCAACAUUAUCUGCAUUAGCUUCUCUGCUAGGUUUUGCCCUUGCCAAUCCAUCU
RNAcentral lists this long non-coding RNA (425 nucleotides) under Medicago truncatula (barrel medic). RNAcentral's name for it is "lncRNA gene17693". The record is from RNAcentral. Lineage: Eukaryota; Viridiplantae; Streptophyta; Magnoliopsida; Fabales; Fabaceae.